CCUCCCACCCGUGUUUAUUAUACCUUGUAUGCUUCGGCGGGCCCGCCUCACGGCCGCCGGGGGGCACCUGCCCCCGGGCCCGCGCCCGCCAAAAACACCAUUGAACUCUGGCUGAAGAUUGGAGGCUGAGCAAAUGACCUAAACAGUUAAAACUUUGAACAAUGGAUCUCUGGAUUCCGGCAUCCCCGAAGAUGCCCGGGAAAUGCGGUGGGUCAAAGAAUUCGUUAAAUCCAGUGAAUUCAGCAAUUCUUAUUACUCACCUUGUUCCCCCUGGCUUUUCCGGGGGGCCGGAACGUCCGAGCGUCCAUUGCUGCCCUCAAGCACGGCAAUUUUGAGAGUAGUCAAACAGCCCACCCUCAACAGGGUGCAAACAGCCCUAAAGCGGGCGCGGGCACCGCGUCCGGUCCUCGAGCGUAUGGGGCUUUGUCACCCGCUCUGUAGGCCCGGCCGGCGCCCGCCGGCGACCCCAAUCAAGC
RNAcentral lists this ribosomal RNA (476 nucleotides) under Penicillium simplicissimum. Its description in RNAcentral is "eukaryotic LSU rRNA". The record is from RNAcentral. Lineage: Eukaryota; Fungi; Ascomycota; Eurotiomycetes; Eurotiales; Aspergillaceae.